UGUUUUAUCUUUUUAUUUUCUAUAGUGUGAUCUUUUGUUAUAGUGUGGUUUUGCGUUGUGUUGGUAAGACAGGAAAGACGCUGUGACACCGGGAGUUUUUUAUGGCUGACCAUAGACUGUAUGUGGCUGACCCCGAUUUAUUCUGACAAACAGAAACGGAAUUUAGCCUAGUUUGCCGCGACUUUAAGCUAGCAGAACUCUGUUUUUACGUGCCACAUUAUGGAAAUCAGUAUAUUGACAGGCGAAGAAAGACAUUAUAACAUUCUUACGAUUGGCUGACGCAGGACAUUGGGUCUCUUAGGAUGACCAGCAUGCUGCGGAGGUGACGAAAGUGUUCUCAAGCCAUGAUGAGGAUUUCGGCUGCACUGGUGUGGUGAAACUCAAGUCGUGACAGGAAUUUGUGAGACUAUGGUGGAGGGACCUCUGACCUCCAUGCCCCCCCAGAAGAAAAGUUUGUGCAUCAAUCUGCUGCACUUUGAAAGCAAAAUAAAGAGGCUAGAUCUAUGAAGAACUUUGCUCUCUUGUUAACAAUGUCAUGCUCUAGUUAACAAUUUGAUCAUAAAGACACUGUAAAGAUGUAAAUGGCGAUCAAACAGCGAAAAUGUCAAAAUGUCAAAAAUGUGCAUUUGUUUAAUUUGUUUUUCCAGCAACUCUAAAUCUAAGAAGUAAUUUCCCUAACAUUUUAGUGUUUUUUUUCCUUUUAAUGGACAAAUGUUUUAUGCUUCCUGUGAAUAUAAUCCAAUUAGGCUUAUUUCCAUACUGCAUACCAUGCUGUAUAUAUGUAUACAUGUUGUAACACUUUAUUUGAAAACCGGAUGUUGUUACAUGUGUAUCCUCACACUAAAUUCACCAAGUCCGACACAAUUUGAUAAAUUAUAUAGUACGUGGUUCUCAUAUUGUGUACAAUGAAGACUUCCUAGCCUCUCUUUAGGUAAGACUCUCGUACUGCAAUGCUUGUCUUUGUGUCAGUGCAUUUACCAUUAAGGCAUGGAUAUGUGACGUGUGCACCCCAAAUGUAGGUGCGGCUAACUUAAUCGUGUUUUCUCAAACGAGUGACAGUGACAGACUCAAAGCUGUGGUAUAACCCUUGGUUAACGUUACCAUAGUAACUUCAAAAGAAAAAUGGUUGUCUCAAGUAGGAUGCCAAAGUGUGUGAGCGUGUGAGGUUACAGCAGUGGCGCAAAACACAACAUUAGAGGUCUGUAUUAUUAUUAUGAGAAGUGUAAAAAUAUUUUUGCCUCAUUUUAAAACUAUGGAGGAACAAAUUAGACUGUGGCGAGCCGGCUACCAAGUCACGCUCACAGACCCCUCUGGUGCUACAGUCACAUACACCACUGCAGCCAACAUAGCAGACGACUCCAGCAACAAACAACGGCAGAGGAAAGGCCACAUCAAGGCAGUUUUAUGCGGCAUUGCUAUGACGACCAGCUACAUUGAGGAGGUACUAUUUACAAUGGAAAACGGAUGAUGGCAGGCCAAAAGCAAGUCGAGUAGAAUCGAGGCAGGUUGGGGCGAGUUGAGCUGGUACCAGCAAUGGAAGGACUGGAGGUCCUUGUUGCCUCUGACCUGGUCAUAAUAAUAUAUAAAUAGCUGAGCUCUUGUGAUUCAGUUUAUGCUGCUGCUACAUUCAGUCACACUCACUGCGAACUUUAAACUACAUCCAAUUAACUCUGGAGGUCUGCUGUUUUGUUUAUCAAUGCCACAUAACAUUUUGUAAAAACAAGAGAUUUCUGUGAUUGUGUGUAUGCAAAUACUGUAAUAAUUUGCCUGUUGAAAUUAGAGCUGUAAUUAAUGGUUCAUUUCAUAAUAGGUCUGUGAAAUAUUUCCCAUUAACUGGUUAAUCUUUCAAAUUGCUUGUUU
Micropterus dolomieu (smallmouth bass) is the source of this 1860-nucleotide long non-coding RNA. RefSeq lists it as uncharacterized. The record is from RefSeq and is a predicted model, not a curated record. Lineage: Eukaryota; Metazoa; Chordata; Actinopteri; Centrarchiformes; Centrarchidae. The transcript is spliced from 3 exons.